AUUGAACGCUGGCGGCAGGCCUAACACAUGCAAGUCGAGCGAGCGGCGGACGGGUGAGUAAUGCCUAGGAAAUUGCCCUGAUGUGGGGGAUAACCAUUGGAAACGAUGGCUAAUACCGCAUGCGUCAGGAUAUCCUAGGUGGGAUUAACUAGGUGGUGAGGUAAUGGCUCACCAAGGCGACGAUCCCUAGCUGGUCUGGGAGGGUGAUCAGCCAGACUGGAAGUGAGACACGGCCCCACCUCCUACGGGAGGCAGCAGUGGGGAAUAUUGCACGAUGGGCGGAAGCCUGAUGCAGCAAGGCCGCGUGUGUGAAGAAGGCCUGCGGGUUGUAAAGCACUUUAAGUUGGGAGGCGUUACCGACAGAAUAAGCACCGGCUAACUCUGUGCCAGCAGCCGCGGUAAUAC
This 405-nucleotide ribosomal RNA is filed under the name uncultured bacterium. RNAcentral describes it as "partial 16S ribosomal RNA". It matches the Rfam family "Bacterial small subunit ribosomal RNA", at positions 30 to 526 of the family's 1533-position model. The record is from RNAcentral.